AAUUUGUAUUAAAAAUAAAAUGAGACGUAAAUUAUUUUGCAUUUGAGUCAACUUAGAACUUAAAACCCUGUAAAAAUUGGGUCUUUAUUAGUGUAAACAACUUCAAGGGCAAUUAUGUUAUUUUAAUCAAAAAAGGUGUUUAUCAACUAUUUAUUAUCAGUUUCAGCACUUUUAUCCAAACAUGUAACUGCUUAUUUUUAAAUCAGCUAAGUCAAACAGGCUCUAACUGAUAACCCACUAUUUGCUCCCUCUAUCCUGCGUAACAAACAAAAAUUGUGCAAAAUUAGGGCACACCGAGCUCACAUCCACAGAGAUUAGGCCAUCGAAGAUGAAGAAAGCUUCUUUGCGUUACUCUUGCAAUGACUGGUAUGAGCUGUCCGCUGGAGAUGUUGUUCGUGCUGUUGCAAGUGAGCAUAGGAACGUGCUGAACCGUGUAAAUGCUUACAUAUGAGGAUAUUACUAGAUGAUGAUGGCAAUAAAUGAAUCAAGGGCUUAAUCUAUUUGCAUGCUUGGUUCUUCUAGUAUUUGUUUAGGCUCUUGAUGUGGUCUACUGCACUACUUUUCUGUUUACCUGUGUUCAUAACAGGCUGUUUUUAAGACAGCAAUUCCUUGAAACUAAACAAAUGGUGUUUCGUCUGUUUUUUUAGUGAUUAAUAUUGACUUGUUAUCAAGA
This is a non-coding RNA of Nicotiana tabacum (common tobacco), 673 nucleotides long. The record is from RefSeq and is a predicted model, not a curated record. Lineage: Eukaryota; Viridiplantae; Streptophyta; Magnoliopsida; Solanales; Solanaceae.